Molecule: transfer RNA, 73 nt
Filed under: gamma proteobacterium HIMB55
Lineage: Bacteria; Pseudomonadati; Pseudomonadota; Gammaproteobacteria; Cellvibrionales; Halieaceae
Rfam family: tRNA
About the family: Transfer RNA (tRNA) molecules are approximately 80 nucleotides in length.
Source: Rfam by way of RNAcentral
GGGCCCAUAGCUCAGUUGGUUAGAGCAGUCGACUCAUAAUCGAUUGGUCGUAGGUUCAAGUCCUACUGGGCCC